GAGGGCAUAGCUCAGUGGUGGAGUAUGUGCUGAGCAUGCAUGAGGUCAUGGGUUCAAUCCCCAGUACCUCCA
RNAcentral lists this transfer RNA (72 nucleotides) under Camelus bactrianus (Bactrian camel). It matches the Rfam family "tRNA". Rfam says of the family: Transfer RNA (tRNA) molecules are approximately 80 nucleotides in length. Their secondary structure includes four short double-helical elements and three loops (D, anti-codon, and T loops). Further hydrogen bonds mediate the characteristic L-shaped molecular structure. tRNAs have two regions of fundamental functional importance: the anti-codon, which is responsible for specific mRNA codon recognition, and the 3' end, to which the tRNAs corresponding amino acid is attached (by aminoacyl-tRNA synthetases). tRNAs cope with the degeneracy of the genetic code in two manners: having more than one tRNA (with a specific anti-codon) for a particular amino acid; and 'wobble' base-pairing, i.e. permitting non-standard base-pairing at the 3rd anti-codon position. The record is from Rfam by way of RNAcentral. RNAcentral also lists the same sequence under 3 other names. Lineage: Eukaryota; Metazoa; Chordata; Mammalia; Artiodactyla; Camelidae.